GCGAACGUAGUUUAAUGGUAAAGCCUUAGCCUUCCAAGCUAAUGACGAGAGUUCGAUUCUCUUCGUUCGCU
This 71-nucleotide transfer RNA is filed under the name Cryptomonas sp. CCAC 1634B. RNAcentral describes it as "tRNA-Gly". It matches the Rfam family "tRNA". Rfam says of the family: Transfer RNA (tRNA) molecules are approximately 80 nucleotides in length. Their secondary structure includes four short double-helical elements and three loops (D, anti-codon, and T loops). The record is from RNAcentral. Lineage: Eukaryota; Cryptophyceae; Cryptomonadales; Cryptomonadaceae.